This 1490-nucleotide long non-coding RNA is filed under the name Marmota monax (woodchuck). Lineage: Eukaryota; Metazoa; Chordata; Mammalia; Rodentia; Sciuridae. The record is from RNAcentral.
CCAACUUGCCAGUCCCUGAGAUGUGAAUCAAACCUCCUACCCCGGGCCCUGUAGAGGAAACGCCUUCCCUGGGUAACAGAGUUCCCCCUGAGGAAUCUUGGUGGGAAGAAAAGAAAAGGCCGGGGCUUCCAGGGGAGGCUUCUAUUGUUCUGCUAGUGUGCCUUGAGCAGGGUCUAGUGACACUCCUUAGUCCUUUCUGUCAAGAUUUGGAUAAUUGUGGGGUAAAACUAGGCACCGAUACAGAUGUAAAAAUGAACACCUGGUAAAGAAUUUAUUUAGGUCAGAUAUAAGUGCCAGGUACUAGGAAAAGUAAAAGAAACACCAAUAUAUGGAGUAUAGGAAUGUUUAUUAUUAUUAUUAAAACUUCUUUUACAUUCGGGAGAGAGAAGUCAAUGAAACAUUUACCAUAUAAAACAGAAUUUGCCUAUCAGUAGCCAAUAAUUAUUUUGCAUUACUAUCAGUCCUACACAGAUUUAUAAAAUAGCUCCCACAUAAUCAGAUAGCCCAGAGAGGAGUCUGCCAGAGUCUAGACAAUGCACAGAUUUCCACUGAAGCACAAAUUUGUCCUGAUUACUUAACUCCAGGAGUCAGUGUGGAUGGAGCCUGUUGGAGUUAACUCAGGGCCCCCAUGGCCUUUUGGAAUCCAAGUCCCUGAUCUCUCCUCCUGUCUUUUCCUUUGUUGUCUUAGAGCAUUGGCAUCCAGCACAGUUCCCACGCACAGCACCCUCACAAACAGACUUUCUUAAAUUCCCAACAUUUAUAAUAUUUUUACUUCUCUUAGUUCCCACUACCCUGGGGCACUAUUACCGUGUAAAAGGGUCAGAAGGCUCACUGAAUGAUGAAGUGCAUUUGUAGAGAGCCAAGUUGGUGGUAGAAAAACAACAUUAUUAUGAUGAUGUGGCUGAUCAAAACAAACAACAAACAAAAAAUGACUGGACUGUUGGCCAACUUGGUUAACAACAAGUAAAGAUUUUGUAUGGGAAGUUUUAAGGAAGUGUGCUUUGGGCCGCAGAUGAGUGGGAGCUAGGAUAGUUAUUAGUUCUGCAGUGGUCUGCUUCUCUAAUGCACAUUCUGAUGUUGUCUGAAGAUCACCAGACAUCUGGAUUCUGUAAACCUAAAGAAAGGUUGUUGAUUAGGAGGUCUUAUGACUGCUAUUUCUCUUGUUACUUUUUCUCAGAAUAACUGGCUCCAGAAGUUAAUAUCUUAAUCAUUCAGGUGUGGCUUUUCUUUAGAACUUACUUAGAAUGAUGGACAGAUGUAAAGUCAACAAAAAGCAAGUUUGCCCAUGACAAUUUGCAAAGCACAAGUUGGCCCAUUAGUUGGUUUCAAUACCAGGAGAGGGAAAGCCAGAGAGAAGGCAGAGCAUGUGUCAUCCUUUUGCUAUUGAUAACCCCUUCUUUGGGUGCUGUAUGCGGAGGCUGGAGAGAGGAAGAAGAAGAAAGUGGAAGGAAAGAAAAAUUGUUUCCCGGGCUGGGGAUGUGGCUCAAGCA